CCUCUUCAUCACCACACACACUGUGCACUUCUCUUCAGUCCCAGGAACCUUGCCUUUCGGGGCAGGCUGUACUUUGACUGGAAAACUCUUGUGAAUGAAAACAGUUUUGGAUGUUCCAAUUUGAAAAAGUUAAAACAACUAUUAACGGUGGAUCUCUUGGCUCUCGUAUCGAUGAAGAACGCAGCGAAACGCGAAAUGUAAUGUGAAUUGCAGAAUUCAGUGAAUCAUCGAAUCUUUGAACGCAUCUUGCGCUCUCGGGUUAUUCCUGAGAGCAUGCUUGUUGGAGUGUCGCGAAACUCUCAACCCCGCUCAAUCUGUUUGGAUUGGGUUGUUUGGGCUUGGAUCAUGACCUUCGCCGAGUCGUUUACGACUGGGCCGGGUUGAAAUGCAUCAAGCUGAAUCAUAACGUGCGGCUUGACCUGUUGUUGUAAGCAUCCACUUUCAAUGGGAACGCAUGAUUUGAACGAGCUUUUCAAACGGAUGAACUCUGAUUGAAGUCCUUCGGGGCUUUGACCAGUGCAUUCUGACCUCCAAUCAAGUAGGACUACCCGCUGAACUUAAGCAUAUCAAUAA
RNAcentral lists this ribosomal RNA (573 nucleotides) under uncultured Agaricostilbomycetidae. RNAcentral's name for it is "eukaryotic LSU rRNA". The stretch from base 137 to 291 matches the Rfam family "5.8S ribosomal RNA". Lineage: Eukaryota; Fungi; Basidiomycota; Agaricostilbomycetes. The record is from RNAcentral.